Molecule: ribosomal RNA, 338 nt
Filed under: uncultured Pseudomonadota bacterium
Lineage: Bacteria; Pseudomonadati; Pseudomonadota
Description: bacterial SSU rRNA
Rfam family: Bacterial small subunit ribosomal RNA
Source: RNAcentral
AACGAACGCUGGCGGCGUGCCUAACACAUGCAAGUCGAACGGAAGUAGAGAGCUUGCUUUCUACUUUAGUGGCGCACGGGUGAGUAACGCGUAGAUAAUCUGCCUGAUGAUCCGGAAUAACAUCUCGAAAGGGGUGCUAAUACCGGAUAAGACCACGGGAUCUCUGGAUUCUGCGGUAAAAGGUGGGGACCUUCGGGCCUACCGUCAUCGGAUGAGUCCGCGUACCAUUAGCUAGUUGGCAGGGUAAUGGCCUACCAAGGCAACGAUGGUUAGCUGGUCUGAGAGGAUGAUCAGCCACACUGGAACUGAGACACGGUCCAGACUCCUACGGGAGGCAG